UACGUAGGGGGCAAGCGUUGUCCGGAUUCAUUGGGCGUAAAGAGCGUGUAGGCGGCCAGGUAGGUCGGUUGUGAAAACUGGAGGCUCAACCUUCAGAGGUCGACCGAAACCAUCUGGCUAGAGUCCGGGAGAGGAGAGUGGAAUUCCUGGUGUAGCGGUGAAAUGCGCAGAUAUUAGGAAGAACACCAGUGGCGAAGGCGGCUCACUGGUCCGGUACUGACGCUGAGGUGCGAAAGCGUGGGGAGCAAACAGG
Molecule: ribosomal RNA, 253 nt
Filed under: uncultured bacterium
Lineage: Bacteria
Description: partial 16S ribosomal RNA
Rfam family: Bacterial small subunit ribosomal RNA
Source: RNAcentral